UACGUAAGGUGCAAGCGUUGUCCGGAAUUAUUGGGCGUAAAGAGCUCGUAGGCGGUCUGUCGCGUCGGCUGUGAAAACCCGGAGCUCAACUCCGGGCCUGCAGUCGAUACGGGCAAACUGGAGUACUGCAGGGGAGACUGGAAUUCCUGGUGUAGCGGUGAAAUGCGCAGAUAUCAGGAGGAACACCGGUGGCGAAGGCGGGUCUCUGGGCAGUAACUGACGCUGAGGAGCGAAAGCGUGGGGAGCGAACAGG
RNAcentral lists this ribosomal RNA (253 nucleotides) under uncultured bacterium. RNAcentral describes it as "partial 16S ribosomal RNA". It matches the Rfam family "Bacterial small subunit ribosomal RNA", at positions 524 to 776 of the family's 1533-position model. The record is from RNAcentral.